Molecule: long non-coding RNA, 2899 nt
Organism: Manis pentadactyla (Chinese pangolin)
Lineage: Eukaryota; Metazoa; Chordata; Mammalia; Pholidota; Manidae
Exons: 4
Source: RefSeq, a predicted model, not a curated record
UUCUCUUCCUCCAUUCAUCAUCUUCUUCUUUUUUUUUUUUGCCAUUUUUAUUUUAUUUAUCAUGCUUUCUGAAAUACUUUUAUUCUUUUGGCUUUAAGAAGUGACAUGUGUGUAUUUUUACUUACUGCUGUUCACAUGUGGCCCUGUCUUCAAUGGUAAACUUUACAGCUGAUUUUAAAACAAAAAGUAUUAUUGUGUGGUUGAUGCAACUUCAGUAACAAGUUUGAUCUCUGGAGAGCCAAAUAGGGAAGUAAGCUCUUCAAGGGUAUGUAUGCUUUCCUAAAAAGUAAUUCCCCAUAUUAAGCCCUGGAAAUUGACUACUAUGUUAUAUGCCUCCAGGGGGCAUUCUUCAUACUGGGCUUUCUAUCAACAGCAUCCCUUAGAGUUGAACCCAGGCGUCUUUGCACAUUAGACACCAAAGGUGUCCCUUCCAGAUGUGCAGGCUACUUAAUGGCUCCCUCUGUGCUUAGGGAAGGAAGUGAUCUGUGUGAAGGGGUUUUUAGGAUUAGCGUUUCGAUUAACAUUAAAAUUUCAAUGGGACUCUAUAAUUAAUUUACAGUGUUCUACAUACAGUGGAAAAAUAUGAGUGGCCUUUCAUGGGUAACAUCCAACUAAGUACAUAUAUCAAAAUUAAUUCUAAGGUUGACAGAUUGAAUUAAAUACUUAACACUGUAGUUAAUAAAGGGAACCUAAUUUUAAGUGAAAUUUAAUUAGAUUGUUCAUUUGAAAUUGUUCUGAGAAUUUAGCACCCUUUCUUGCACUCUCAUUAUCCUUACUUCCUACUUAAAGUAGUUUUGAGCUACAUAAAAUGAUUUAAUCCUCAGGGUGAUCCACUGUGUACAUGUGUACUGUGUAUCAGUGUAAAGUUAUCCUUUUCUGAUUCUAGAAAUAUAGUUGACCCUUAACCAGCACAGGUCUGAACUGCAUGGGGCCAUUUCAAUGUAGUUCUAUGUUUUUUAUGUGGAUUUUUUCAGUAAAUGUAUUGGACAGUUUUUUGGACAUUUGUGACAAUUUGAAAAAACAUUUUCUUUCCUCUAACUUUAUUAUAAGAAUACAGUAUAUAGUACACAUAAUGUACAAAGUAUGUGUUAAUCAACUGUUUAUGUUACUGGUAAGGUUUCUCAUCAACAGUAAGCUAUUAGUUUUGGGAGAGUCAAAAGUUACACCGAUUUUUGACCAUGUGAGGGGUUGGCACCUCUAAUGCCCAUGUUGUUCGAAGGUCACUUGUGUUUUCAUAUUUAAGAGCCCUUUUGACCAUGUGAAUUUGAAAGAUACUUUGUUAUGCUAUUUGCUGUUACAAUCUCUCAAACACAUCAGUGGUGACAUUUCAGUAAGUAGUCAUAAGCAUGUUUGUGGGGUUUUCUUUUUUUGUUGGUUGGUGAUUUUAGUCAUAUUUAGGUACAUUUAUCUUCCCCAGUGGGAAAAUUAAUCCUGCUGAAAAAUUUGGCAAAUGCAAUUUUUAUGGAAAAAGUGAUAGUGUUCAUUUUCACUCCAGUCUCCUGGUGCAUUCAUUGUUCUUUUUUAGGAGGAAGAUGAAGAUGAAGAUUUUGAAGAGGAGAGUGAUGAUGAUGGUGCUGCAGCUCUACUUGCAGAACUGGAAAAAAUUAAAAAAGAAAGAGCUAAAGAGCAGGCCAGGAAGAAUUCUCAAAGAUGUAGUGUGACACACAUCAAGAAAAGUUAAAAUCGGCUUAUACUACAACAUCAAACAACUAAAACGAAUUUGACUGGAUGGCACAGAUCUUACCUUCCACAAGGAACACACCCUGGACUCGGAACACCCUUCGCCCUGGAACUACAAUGCGUCAAGCAUUUCACCAGAAAAUUUGAAUCUCCAAAGACCACCAAAUGGACAUUCCAAAACAGAAAAGCUGUUAACAUCUGAAACUAAGAACUCAAUGGGUAGGGUAAUUAGGAGGUUGAAACAAAAAAAGGUAGUAUUGGUGAACUCCAAGACCAGUCAGUAUAAAAAUACAUGAACAGAAGCACACAAGACAACAGAAGAUAGAAAAAUUAAAACAGAUAAAUGGAUGAAUAAAAUAUGAUCCAUACCCAACAGGGCAAAUUUAUGUGGAAUGGGAAUUGUAGGAAAAGGGCAGAGAAAGAAUGGAACCACAAAAAGCUCAACCAAAACAAACAAAAUGAAACUUGGACAACAUAGGCCAACAUCAACAGAAACAAAACCAUACCAAAAGAUAUCAUUGUCAAAAUACUGGGAACAAAAGUGAAGAGAAAACAGUAAUAGUAGCCAGAGAAAGAGAAAGAGAACAGUAAUAAAUCAAGCAGUUAGCUUUUUAACAGAAAUAAUAGAAGGCAGAAUUUAAUGGUAUUUCACUUUGAAAAUGACAAGCAAAAAUAACUGCCAAAAUAAUAUUGUAUGUGCAGCAUAUAUACAGUUAUAUGCAUAUAGUAUACAUAUACGAAGAUGAAGGUAGAAUAAAAGUAUUUAAGAAAAAUAAAUCUUCUGCAGGUCAUCAAUAGCAGCAGGCCUGAUAGUAAUGGAGGGAGUAAGAAAUGACCAUUCUGAUAUCUAUUGUACUGUACAUAUGCCUAUCAGAUUUACUGACGUAGUGGAUACAGUGUGUAAGAGAAAGACUUUAAGAUGACGCAUGGGUUUUUUUUGUUCAUUUGUUUUGGUUUUUUAUCUUGACAUAAUUUCUAUGUAUAAAAGGACUAAAAAAGUAGUAUAAAAAAUUACUGUAUAUCAUAAUUGCUAUAUCCUUCUCUCUUUCUCCCCACCUCUCUCCCUCUCAGUAAUUAUCUUUGUGGUCAAGAAAUUUAGAAGGUUAUUUCUCAACACUGUAAAAAAGCAGCUUGAAGUUUUGUUCCUUUAGAAAGUAGUGUUGUUAAAAGGCUGACCAUUUUUCACCUUGAACUAUUUUAAAUAAAUUUUUGAAUGCAA